AACGAACGCUGGCGGCGUGCCUAACACAUGCAAGUCGAACGUGAUUAGAGAGCUUGCUCUCUAUGAAAGUGGCGCACGGGUGAGUAACGCGUAGAUAAUCUACAUGAUGAUUCGGGAUAACACUUCGAAAGGGGUGCGAAUACCGAAUAAGCCCACGGAGUCCUUGGACGCUGCGGGAAAAGGGGGGGACCUUCGGGCCUUCAGUCAUCAGAUGAGUCUGGGGACCAUUAGCUAGUUGGUAGGGUAAAGGCCUACCAAGGCGACGAUGGUUAGCUGGUCUUGGAGGAUGAUCAGCCACCCUGGAACUGAGACACGGGCCAGACUCCUACGGGAGGCAGCAGUGGGGAAUUUUGCGCAAUGGGGGAAACCCUGACGCAGCAACGCCGCGUGAGUGAUGAAGGCCCUUGGGUCGUAAAGCUCUGACAGAGGGAAAGAAAUGCAGGGGAGCUAAUAUCUCCCUUGCUUGACGGUACCCUCAAAGGAAGCACCGGCUAACUCCGUGCCAGCAGCCGCCGUAA
Molecule: ribosomal RNA, 518 nt
Filed under: uncultured bacterium
Lineage: Bacteria
Description: partial 16S ribosomal RNA
Rfam family: Bacterial small subunit ribosomal RNA
Source: RNAcentral